RNAcentral lists this ribosomal RNA (497 nucleotides) under uncultured bacterium. Its description in RNAcentral is "partial 16S ribosomal RNA". It matches the Rfam family "Bacterial small subunit ribosomal RNA", at positions 28 to 507 of the family's 1533-position model. The record is from RNAcentral.
GAUGAACGCUGGCGGCGUGCCUAAUACAUGCAAGUCGAGCGAACGGACGAGAAGCUUGCUUCUCUGAUGUUAGCGGCGGACGGGUGAGUACAACUUGAUAACCCACCUCUAAAAACUGGGUUACUUCCGGGAAACCGGGGCAAUACCCGCUUAUAAUUUUAACCCGCAGGGUUCAAAGUUAAAGAACGUUCUUGCGUUCAUUAUUGAUUGUACCCCUGUUGCAUUAGUUAGUUGGUAAGGUAACGGAUUACCAAGGCAACGAUGCAUAGCCGACCUGAGAGGGUGAUCGGCCAAACUGGAACUGAGACACGGUCCAGACUCCUACGGGAGGCAGCAGUAGGGAAUCUUCCGCAAUGGGCGAAAGCCUGACGGAGCAACGCCGCGUGAGUGAUGAAGGUCUUCGGAUCGUAAAACUCUGUUAUUAGGGAAGAACAUAUGUGUAAGUAACUGUGCACAUCUUGACGGUACCUAAUCAGAAAGCCACGGCUAACUACGUG